Molecule: long non-coding RNA, 533 nt
Filed under: Homo sapiens (human)
Lineage: Eukaryota; Metazoa; Chordata; Mammalia; Primates; Hominidae
Description: non-protein coding lnc-DNAH6-15:1
Source: RNAcentral
CAAACCGAUUUAAAAUCAUUUAUUGCCUACCCCUCCGUAAGCCACAUAGCACUUGUUAUUAUGGCUAUCCUCAUUCGGACUCCUUGAAACUUUACAGGUGCGGUCACCCUUAUAAUUGCUCAUGGACUCACUUCAUCUUUACUAUUCUGCCUAGCAAAUUCAAGCUAAGAAAGAAUCUGUAGCCGAACCACAUUACUUUCCCGAGGCCCUCGAACACUUCUCUUACUAAUAGCCUCAUGAUGAUUUUUAGCAAAUCUUACUAACCUUGCCUUGCCCCCUACUAUUAAUCUAGUAGGGGAACUCUUUGUGACUAUGGCCUCAUUCUCCUGAUCAAAUAUCAGUAUUAUGCUUAUAGGACUUAAUAUGCUAAUUACAGCCCUAUACUGUAUAUGCUAAUCACAACACAACAAGGGGCACUUGUAUAUUAUAUUAACAGUAUCAAACCUUCCUUUACAAGAGAAAAUACAUUAACACUUAUACAUCUAGAGCCUAUCUUCCUAUUAUUCUUAAACCCUAAAAUUAUUUUGGGGUUU